CGGACCAAGGAGUUUAACUGCAUUGCGAGUCAAAGGGUGUGCAAACCCAAUGGCGUAAUAAAUGUGAUCAUAAUAGUGUGAUCUGGGCACUUAGGUUGACUAAAGUGCCCGGCGCAACACUGGCCCGUCCCUCUGUGUGUGUGGCGUAAGUCGCAUGUCAUAAGGGCGGUGCAUGAGCAAUGCGGUUAAGAACCCGAAAGAUGGUGAGCUAUGCUUGCAUAGGUUGAAGCCAGAGGAAACUCUGGUGGAAGACCGUAACGAUUCUGACGUGCAAAUCGAUCGUUGAAUGUGAGUAUAGGGGCGAAAGACUUAUCGAACCAUCUAGUAGCUGGUUCCCUCCGAAGUUUCCCUCAGGAUAGCUAGUACUCACUAUCUCACUUUUAUCCGGUAAAGCGAAYGAUAAGCGGYGCCGGGGAAAAACCYUCCNCAACCUAAACACAAACUUAAAUGGGUAAGAUGUCCGGCUCGCUUCAUUACAGUCGGACAUCGAAUGUGAGUACUAAGUGGGCCAUCUUUGGUAAGCAGAACUGGCGCUGUGGGAUGAACCAAACGUGUUGGUUAGAGUGCCUAACGCUAACGCUCAUGAGAUAUCACAAAAGGUGUUGAUGCAUUUAGACAGCAGGACGGUGGCCAUAAAAGUCGGAAUCCGCUAAGGAGUGUGURACGACUCACCYGCCGAAUGCAUCAGCCCYGNAAAUUCAUGGCGCUAGAGCUUUGGASUCAUACAGCACUAUCGGUGCCYGCUGGGUUUGUCUUUGGCAUAUCCAGGGUAAAAGGUAUACCGAUGAGUAGGAGGGACACCNUGGUGGCUGUGAAGCUGUGUACGUGAGUACUGGUGGAGCCAUCACGGCAGMUGAUCUUGGUGGAAGUAGCAAUUAUUCAAGUGGAACUCCU
Molecule: ribosomal RNA, 894 nt
Filed under: Encotyllabe chironemi
Lineage: Eukaryota; Metazoa; Platyhelminthes; Monogenea; Capsalidea; Capsalidae
Description: eukaryotic LSU rRNA
Rfam family: Eukaryotic large subunit ribosomal RNA
Source: RNAcentral